This 253-nucleotide ribosomal RNA is filed under the name uncultured bacterium. Its description in RNAcentral is "partial 16S ribosomal RNA". It matches the Rfam family "Bacterial small subunit ribosomal RNA", at positions 524 to 776 of the family's 1533-position model. The record is from RNAcentral.
GACGUAGGGGGCCAGCGUUGUUCGGAAUUACUGGGUGUAAAGGGUUCGUAGGCGGUGUGGCAAGUCGGGAGUGAAAUCUCUGGGCUCAACCCAGAGUCUGCUUCCGAAACUGCUGUGCUUGAGUGUGGGAGAGGCGCGUGGAAUUGCAGGUGUAGCGGUGAAAUGCGCAGAUAUCUGCAGGAACACCCGUGGCGAAAGCGGCGCGCUGGACCACUACUGACGCUGAGGAACGAAAGCUAGGGGAGCAAACAGG